AAGUCGCGAAUAAUGUCACGUAGUUUCCCCGACAAAGGGUUGAUGGAAACAGACCAAUGGUCAAAUUAUCUGUCAUUAAUUUUGAGCUGUCAUUUGAGUCUGUCAAACGAGUCGGACUGUUUAGUUUACACCGAACUUUACAAGAACAAUUAAAGUUUAUUACGAAUUUCAUAAGCUGUAAGCAGUCAGAUUGAAUGUUUAAGUCACACAAAAAGUACCUUGGUGAGAAACCGAUCAUUCAGUGCUAUUGAAAAUAUCAGGUGGAAACAUGUCAUAUGCAGUAAUAAUAAUGCAGAAAAACGUGCAGAUUCUACGCCUAUGCACCGUUCUGACCACAAACUCGAGACUGAAGCAAAAACAAAUCCUACUAAGACCAGCCCAGGUUGCCCAGGCAGGUGCUUGAUAGAAGCUACCAUCUGUCCUUAAAGGAAGCCAAUCAGAUGCACUGAUUUUUUCAUAAUCCCCUGCAUUUCAUACAAUGGGCGGAAAUUGAAAAAUCUUCGCUCAAUUUUUGUUAAAAGCCAUUAAAGUGAUUAAUCAAUUACUUAAUUGUAAUGUGGGCAGGAAGCAAAGCGUCUGCAUCGCAAGAGUUGCAACUUCCCCAACACCAGCUAGUUUGUCAGCAUUUGCGCUUUCUCGAAAAAACAAAGCCAGUAUAAACUCUGGAAAUAUCCAGGACAAGGGGAUAAAAAUAAUUCAGCCUCCUGUAGCCAGAAAUAUUGAUAGAGGUUGGGAAAAUGGAAAAGAUCUGCGUGUAGGAUGAUGAAGAUCGGAUGGGAAACGUAGAUAUUAAAAUAACCCUUGGAUAAUUAAUAGUAAAAAUCGAAUUUUACAUACCCCGAUAACAAGUGACGAUAGAUCCCAAGUUAAAAAUCA
This is a long non-coding RNA of Dendroctonus ponderosae (mountain pine beetle), 876 nucleotides long. RefSeq lists it as uncharacterized. The record is from RefSeq and is a predicted model, not a curated record. NCBI's taxonomy places the organism in Eukaryota, Metazoa, Arthropoda, Insecta, Coleoptera, Curculionidae. The transcript is spliced from 3 exons.